This 30-nucleotide non-coding RNA is filed under the name Rattus norvegicus (Norway rat). The record is from RNAcentral. Lineage: Eukaryota; Metazoa; Chordata; Mammalia; Rodentia; Muridae.
UUGAAAAAUGAUGGCCAGAGCCUCCUCCUC